ACCUACGGGGGGCAGCAGUAGGGAAUCUUCCACAAUGGGCGAAAGCCUGAUGGAGCAACGCCGCGUGGGUGAAGAAGGUCUUCGGAUCGUAAAACCCUGUUGUUAGAGAAGAAAGUGCGUGAGAGUAACUGUUCACGUUUCGACGGUAUCUAACCAGAAAGCCACGGCUAACUACGUGCCAGCAGCCGCGGUAAUACGUAGGUGGCAAGCGUUAUCCGGAUUUAUUGGGCGUAAAGGGAACGCAGGCGGUCUCUUAAGUCUGAUGUGAAAGCCUUCGGCUUAACCGGAGUAGUGCAUUGGAAACU
Molecule: ribosomal RNA, 305 nt
Filed under: uncultured bacterium
Lineage: Bacteria
Description: bacterial SSU rRNA
Rfam family: Bacterial small subunit ribosomal RNA
Source: RNAcentral